This 305-nucleotide ribosomal RNA is filed under the name uncultured bacterium. RNAcentral describes it as "bacterial SSU rRNA". It matches the Rfam family "Bacterial small subunit ribosomal RNA", at positions 333 to 655 of the family's 1533-position model. The record is from RNAcentral.
ACUUGCCUACGGGGCGCAGCAGUGGGGAAUAUUGCACAAUGGAGGGAACUCUGAUGCAGCGACGCCGCGUGAGUGAAGAAGUAAUUCGUUAUGUAAAGCUCUAUCAGCAGGGAAGAAAGUGACGGUACCUGAAAAAGAAGCUCCGGCUAAAUACGUGCCAGCAGCCGCGGUAAUACGUAUGGAGCAAGCGUUAUCCGGAUUUACUGGGUGUAAAGGGAGAGUAGGUGGCAGAGCAAGUCCGAAGGGAAAACCCAAAGCUCAACUAUGGGAAUGCUUUAGAAACUGCUCAGCUAGAGUGAAGGAGG